CAGAACUUAAAGGAAUUGACGGGGCCGCACAAGCGGUGGAGCACGUGGUUUAAUCGAUGAUACGCGAGGAACCUUACCUGGGCUCAAAUGUAUGUUGACGUAUUCUGAAAGGGAUACUUCUUCGGACAAUAUACAAGGUGCUGCAUGGUUGUCGUCAGCUCGUGCCGUGAGGUGUCGGGUUAAGUCCCAUAACGAGCGCAACCCCUAUCAUUAGUUGCCAUCAGGUCAAGCUGGGGACUCUAAUGAAACUGCCUACGCAAGUAGUGAGGAAGGUGGGGAUGACGUCAAAUCAGCACGGCCCUUACGUCCAGGGCUACACACGUGCUACAAUGGCCGGUACAAAAGGCAGCUACCUGGUGACAGGAUGCUAAUCUCAAAAGCCGGUCUCAGUUCGGAUCGGAGUCUGCAACCCGACUCCGUGAAGCUGGAAUCGCUAGUAAUCGCGCAUCAGCCAUGGCGCGGUGAAUACGUUCCCGGGCCUU
RNAcentral lists this ribosomal RNA (482 nucleotides) under uncultured Sphingobacteriales bacterium. RNAcentral describes it as "bacterial SSU rRNA". It matches the Rfam family "Bacterial small subunit ribosomal RNA", at positions 895 to 1382 of the family's 1533-position model. Lineage: Bacteria; Pseudomonadati; Bacteroidota; Sphingobacteriia; Sphingobacteriales. The record is from RNAcentral.